AAAAUAAAUCAAUCACCAUCUCUUCACAUUUUCUAGCCGUCACCUACCUACACACUAUAUCUCCAAUUUCAAUUAAAAUUAAACACGUGCCUCCUUCUUCCAGCAGCAGACCGUGACCCUAGGGAGCUAAUUUCCAAUUGCCAAUUCCGCAUUCGAAAAGAUGCUGAAAACGUUCCAUCCCAUCACCUACACCUAAUCCCAUCUAAUAUCCAAUAAAUAAAUAAAUAAAAAAAAGAAAAGCUAACUACCCCUAUGGUUGCCAACGUCCCAUCCAAUCACCCAUCUACCACUUGUUUGCAUUUUUCAUUCCCAAAGGAAACUAAAUUGCGCUGCUGGAAGAAAAGGAAUUGAAUCAACGCUUCAACCUCUCUACACCAAAAUGAAUGACAGCCUCCUGCUUUUAAAGAAAACAAAAAAAACGUGCUGCUAAUUGAAUGCAAAUUAAAGCCAACAAUGUUCAUGAAUUCAGCGCUGAUUAAAUGGAAGGAAAUAAAAUUUAAAAAUGCUUCCCAUUCAUCCAGUAAUCCAACACGUUCCAGCCCUCUAAUAUUCAAAGAAAAAGGUGCCAAAAAUAAAUCAACCAAAAUCCAAUACUAGGAACAUGCUUCAGAGAAAAGGAAAAGCUCCCAGCUCAUACAACUCUCGGGUCCCUCCUUUGCUAAGUGAUGGCUGGACCUUUUUAAUGGUCGUGUGACUCCAAAAUAGUUGUGGGGUCCACCCUAUAAAAGAGAAACCCUAGGCCAUGUGUCCUCUACUAUUUGGACUCAUCACAAAUUUGUCAAUAUUAACCCAAAUGUGCACAAGUUCAAUUAAAAAUAUUAUAUACUACUAAGUUACAAUAUAACUAAAUUUAAAAUGUCUAAUUUGAGAGUCUUGAAUUUAUUUUUUUCUCCUUCCCAAUGCUCCAAAAUAUAUCUCCAAAAUUUUCCCUGCAAAUAAUAAUGCAAAUAAUUAGCUCAGAAAAUUCAAAUUAAUUAAAAUUAGAAUUUCUGGUCAAAUUAAGCAUAAUUAGGAAAAACGGGAAAAUACUGGACAAUUAAGCACAAUUCCCUGAUUAAUUUCGGUACAAUAAACUAAGUGAAAUCAAUAAAAUAUUGUUUCAUCAUCAUGAACUCGGGGGAAUUCCUUGAUUAUGCUAAUACCACCUAGAGAUAGGGGUAGGACGAUCAAUUGUAUUUUGCUUCCGUUUAUCAUGCAUUAUUAGUUACUAGGGGAGGCUAGAGAUAGGGUUUAGGGUAGACUAAGAGAUUGCAUGACAAUAUGAUAAAUAAGCAAAGUAGAUAAGAAGAGUAUAUAUAAGAGGGCGGAUAAGAUGAAAUUGUAAACCCCAACAACUCCAUUCAUCCAUAGUCUUUUCUAGCCAAUUGAUUCACUGCAUUUUGCAUGUUUAUUUUCGUCCUUUGCAUACAAAACCUAAAUUUAAUUCUUUUCUCAAGUCUUAUGCGAUUGGUUUGCAUGAAAAGUAAGGCCUAAGAGUCCUUUGGGAAACGAUACUUGGACUUACCCGUUUUAUAUUACUUGACAACGAUCUGGUACACUUGUCAGGGACUUAACAAGUUUUUGGCGCCAUUGCCGGGGACUCGUGGUUUAACUUAUCUAGUAGUGUAAAUUGAUUUAAUUUGACUUGAUUGUAUAUAUUUUCUUUUUCUUUUUGUUUU
This 1658-nucleotide long non-coding RNA is filed under the name Vigna radiata. RNAcentral's name for it is "long non-coding RNA (VRAD_LNC010094)". The record is from RNAcentral. Lineage: Eukaryota; Viridiplantae; Streptophyta; Magnoliopsida; Fabales; Fabaceae.